UACGAAGGGUGCAAACGUUGCUCGGAAUUAUUGGGCGUAAAGCGCACGUAGGCGGCUUCGCAAGUCGGAUGUGAAAUCCCUCGGCUCAACCGAGGACGUGCAUCCGAAACUGCGGAGCUUGAGUACUGAAGAGGAUCGCGGAAUUCCUGGUGUAGCGGUGAAAUGCGCAGAUAUCAGGAGGAACACCGGUGGCGAAGGCGGGUCUCUGGACAGUUCCUGACGCUGAGGCACGAAGGCCAGGGGAGCAAACGGG
This 253-nucleotide ribosomal RNA is filed under the name uncultured bacterium. RNAcentral's name for it is "partial 16S ribosomal RNA". It matches the Rfam family "Bacterial small subunit ribosomal RNA", at positions 524 to 776 of the family's 1533-position model. The record is from RNAcentral.